This 2544-nucleotide ribosomal RNA is filed under the name Klebsiella quasipneumoniae. RNAcentral's name for it is "bacterial LSU rRNA". It matches the Rfam family "Bacterial large subunit ribosomal RNA", at positions 399 to 2925 of the family's 2925-position model. The record is from RNAcentral. Lineage: Bacteria; Pseudomonadati; Pseudomonadota; Gammaproteobacteria; Enterobacterales; Enterobacteriaceae.
GUGAACUCGAAGAGUAGGGCGGGACACGUGGUAUCCUGUCUGAAUAUGGGGGGACCAUCCUCCAAGGCUAAAUACUCCUGACUGACCGAUAGUGAACCAGUACCGUGAGGGAAAGGCGAAAAGAACCCCGGCGAGGGGAGUGAAAAAGAACCUGAAACCGUGUACGUACAAGCAGUGGGAGCACCUUCGGGUGUGACUGCGUACCUUUUGUAUAAUGGGUCAGCGACUUAUAUUCUGUAGCAAGGUUAACCGUAUAGGGGAGCCGCAGGGAAACCGAGUCUUAACUGGGCGUUAAGUUGCAGGGUAUAGACCCGAAACCCGGUGAUCUAGCCAUGGGCAGGUUGAAGGUUGGGUAACACUAACUGGAGGACCGAACCGACUAAUGUUGAAAAAUUAGCGGAUGACUUGUGGCUGGGGGUGAAAGGCCAAUCAAACCGGGAGAUAGCUGGUUCUCCCCGAAAGCUAUUUAGGUAGCGCCUCGUGAACUCAUCUUCGGGGGUAGAGCACUGUUUCGGCUAGGGGGUCAUCCCGACUUACCAACCCGAUGCAAACUACGAAUACCGAAGAAUGUUAUCACGGGAGACACACGGCGGGUGCUAACGUCCGUCGUGAAGAGGGAAACAACCCAGACCGCCAGCUAAGGUCCCAAAGUCAUGGUUAAGUGGGAAACGAUGUGGGAAGGCACAGACAGCCAGGAUGUUGGCUUAGAAGCAGCCAUCAUUUAAAGAAAGCGUAAUAGCUCACUGGUCGAGUCGGCCUGCGCGGAAGAUGUAACGGGGCUAAACCAUGCACCGAAGCUGCGGCAGCGACACUAUGUGUUGUUGGGUAGGGGAGCGUUCUGUAAGCCUGCGAAGGUGACCUGUGAGGGUUGCUGGAGGUAUCAGAAGUGCGAAUGCUGACAUAAGUAACGAUAAAGCGGGUGAAAAGCCCGCUCGCCGGAAGACCAAGGGUUCCUGUCCAACGUUAAUCGGGGCAGGGUGAGUCGACCCCUAAGGCGAGGCCGAAAGGCGUAGUCGAUGGGAAACAGGUUAAUAUUCCUGUACUUGGUGUUACUGCGAAGGGGGGACGGAGAAGGCUAUGUUAGCCGGGCGACGGUUGUCCCGGUUUAAGCAUGUAGGCUGGUUAUCCAGGCAAAUCCGGAUAAUCAAGGCUGAGGUGUGAUGACGAGGCACUACGGUGCUGAAGUAACAAAUGCCCUGCUUCCAGGAAAAGCCUCUAAGCAUCAGGUAACAUCAAAUCGUACCCCAAACCGACACAGGUGGUCAGGUAGAGAAUACCAAGGCGCUUGAGAGAACUCGGGUGAAGGAACUAGGCAAAAUGGUGCCGUAACUUCGGGAGAAGGCACGCUGGUGUGUAGGUGAAGCCCCUGCGGGUGGAGCUGAGACCAGUCGAAGAUACCAGCUGGCUGCAACUGUUUAUUAAAAACACAGCACUGUGCAAACACGAAAGUGGACGUAUACGGUGUGACGCCUGCCCGGUGCCGGAAGGUUAAUUGAUGGGGUUAUCCGUAAGGAGAAGCUCUUGAUCGAAGCCCCGGUAAACGGCGGCCGUAACUAUAACGGUCCUAAGGUAGCGAAAUUCCUUGUCGGGUAAGUUCCGACCUGCACGAAUGGCGUAAUGAUGGCCAGGCUGUCUCCACCCGAGACUCAGUGAAAUUGAACUCGCUGUGAAGAUGCAGUGUACCCGCGGCAAGACGGAAAGACCCCGUGAACCUUUACUAUAGCUUGACACUGAACAUUGAGCCUUGAUGUGUAGGAUAGGUGGGAGGCUUUGAAGCGUGGACGCCAGUCUGCGUGGAGCCAACCUUGAAAUACCACCCUUUAAUGUUUGAUGUUCUAACGUUGGCCCCUUAUCGGGGUUGCGGACAGUGUCUGGUGGGUAGUUUGACUGGGGCGGUCUCCUCCCAAAGCGUAACGGAGGAGCACGAAGGUUAGCUAAUCCUGGUCGGACAUCAGGAGGUUAGUGCAAUGGCAUAAGCUAGCUUGACUGCGAGCGUGACGGCGCGAGCAGGUGCGAAAGCAGGUCAUAGUGAUCCGGUGGUUCUGAAUGGAAGGGCCAUCGCUCAACGGAUAAAAGGUACUCCGGGGAUAACAGGCUGAUACCGCCCAAGAGUUCAUAUCGACGGCGGUGUUUGGCACCUCGAUGUCGGCUCAUCACAUCCUGGGGCUGAAGUAGGUCCCAAGGGUAUGGCUGUUCGCCAUUUAAAGUGGUACGCGAGCUGGGUUUAGAACGUCGUGAGACAGUUCGGUCCCUAUCUGCCGUGGGCGCUGGAGAAUUGAGGGGGGCUGCUCCUAGUACGAGAGGACCGGAGUGGACGCAUCACUGGUGUUCGGGUUGUCAUGCCAAUGGCACUGCCCGGUAGCUAAAUGCGGAAGAGAUAAGUGCUGAAAGCAUCUAAGCACGAAACUUGCCCCGAGAUGAGUUCUCCCUGAGACUUUAAGUCUCCUGAAGGAACGUUGAAGACGACGACGUUGAUAGGCCGGGUGUGUAAGCGCAGCGAUGCGUUGAGCUAACCGGUACUAAUGAACCGUGAGGCUUAACCUU